RNAcentral lists this ribosomal RNA (497 nucleotides) under uncultured bacterium. RNAcentral's name for it is "partial 16S ribosomal RNA". It matches the Rfam family "Bacterial small subunit ribosomal RNA", at positions 28 to 507 of the family's 1533-position model. The record is from RNAcentral.
GAUGAACGCUGGCGGCGUGCCUAAUACAUGCAAGUCGAGCGAACAGACGAGGAGCUUGCUCCCCUGACGUUAGCGGCGGACGGGUGAGUAACACGUGGAUAACCUACCUAUAAGACUGGGAUAACUUCGGGAAACCGGAGCUAAUACCGGAUAAUAUAUUGAACCGCAUGGUUCAAUAGUGAAAGACGGUUUUGCUGUCACUUAUAGAUGGAUCCGCGCCGCAUUAGCUAGUUGGUAAGGUAACGGCUUACCAAGGCAACGAUGCGUAGCCGUCCUGAGAGGGUGAUCGGCCACACUGGAACUGAGACACGGUCCAGACUCCUACGGGAGGCAGCAGUAGGGAAUCUUCCGCAAUGGGCGAAAGCCUGACGGAGCAACGCCGCGUGAGUGAUGAAGGUCUUCGGAUCGUAAAACUCUGUUAUUAGGGAAGAACAAAUGUGUAAGUAACUAUGCACGUCUUGACGGUACCUAAUCAGAAAGCCACGGCUAACUACGUG